UGGGGUGAGCAGGGAUGGCAGUGGAAACAGCACACCUGAUAAUGGGUCUGAUUAUGGUUAAUAGGUCUGAUUACGGAUUCCCCUUGGAGCACCCCAGAAAGCCAAUAUCUGUGCCUUCACCAGCAAGCAGCACGGCGCAGCAGGACCAGGCCUGUACAGCAGAGGAGGGGCCGCAGAAGAGCACCCAUUUCGGUGCUCCUGCCUUCACGUGACUGUUCUGGCAGUGCCAUGUAGCUGCCUCUUGCCCCGUGCCCUCCCUGCAGCCUCCGUAGCACUGCCACUUGCUGCACGGCCUGGGAAGGAGGGCAGCUUCAUCUUGCUCUGCCAAGCCAACACGGGGAGAGGACUGGCUUUGUGUGAGAUGCGAUGGGAGCUGUGCAGCAGUUUCAGGGCUGUAUAAAGAACUGGUUAAUAACCAUCCAUAAAACUAGAGCUGGAAAACUUGCACACAUAAGUAUUUUUAAAAUUGCCCAACAAGGUCAUCAAGUCUUUAAUACUGAUUUUUCAGCAAAUACCGUGUCACUGAAUUUCCAGAGAAUCAGGGGAAAUAACUGUUGAGCCAUUAUCCCAAAACAGUAACUGCUAUGUCCUAGGUAAGCAUUAACCAAAACUUGGCUAAUCUAACCCCAAUCCUUGGCAAAAGCAAUAAGGAGGUUGAUGAAGUACGCGGCCAACACAGAAUUAAACUGCAACAUUUUCUGUGAAUAUGUUGACUCCAGAAAUAAUGUUUUUAACUUUUCUUGGUGAGGAGACACGCUGAAUGUAGGAAGACGAUCAUUCGGACUUGAGUCAGACCAGUUCAGUACUACAGCUAA
Oxyura jamaicensis (ruddy duck) is the source of this 815-nucleotide long non-coding RNA. RefSeq lists it as uncharacterized. The record is from RefSeq and is a predicted model, not a curated record. Lineage: Eukaryota; Metazoa; Chordata; Aves; Anseriformes; Anatidae. The transcript is spliced from 3 exons.